RNAcentral lists this ribosomal RNA (526 nucleotides) under uncultured bacterium. Its description in RNAcentral is "bacterial SSU rRNA". It matches the Rfam family "Bacterial small subunit ribosomal RNA", at positions 358 to 884 of the family's 1533-position model. The record is from RNAcentral.
GGAAUAUUGGUCAAUGGGCGCGAGCCUGAACCAGCCAAGUCGCGUGAAGGAAGACUGCCCUAUGGGUUGUAAACUUCUUUUGUACAGGAAUAAAGUGGGUUACGUGUAACCUUUUGUAUGUACUGUACGAAUAAGGAUCGGCUAACUCCGUGCCAGCAGCCGCGGUAAUACGGAGGAUCCAAGCGUUAUCCGGAUUUAUUGGGUUUAAAGGGUGCGUAGGCGGACUUGUAAGUCAGUGGUGAAAGUUUUGAGCUUAACUGAAAAAUUGCCAUUGAAACUGCGGGUCUUGAGUGCAAAUGAGGUAUGCGGAAUGUGUUGUGUAGCGGUGAAAUGCAUAGAUAUGACACAGAACUCCGAUUGCGAAGGCAGCAUACUGGGAUGCAACUGACGCUGAUGCACGAAAGCGUGGGUAUCAAACAGGAUUAGAUACCCUGGUAGUCCACGCAGUAAACGAUGAAUACUCGCUGUUUGCGAUAUACAGUAAGCGGCCAAGCGAAAGCGUUAAGUAUUCCACCUGGGGAGUACG